ACAGCAGCGAAGAAAUCUGACAUGAGAAUAGGUACUGGAGUAAAUAUUCUAGGCCAACUUGAUACAAUUGUUUGAAAAAAGUUAUCUAAUUUAUUUUGGAAAAAUACAUAGCACAAAAGAAAAGGGAGAAAUAAAGGAAAAGCGUUAGUUUUGCCCAUUCGAAUAUUUGGUUUCUGUGGCAAAUUAGAAGGAGAGAAAAAAUUAGAAAUAUUCAUGAACUCAAGAACUAACCAACAGGUCUACAAAGAGAGAAUUCUGCUAUUGGUUCUUCUUGGUCGACCAUUUUUACCAUUAUUCAGUUCACUUUGCUCGCAAAGAUAAAAAAUCUUAUUUCACCAGCUUGAUAUUCAACGACAGUCCGAAGAUCGAAAUUACAUAAGCUCCUUCUUUAGCUUUUCCUAAGAGACGAGUAUUCAAUUUUAGUUGAGUUUCUAAAUUUUGAGAGGUUGGAGAGGCAAUGGAAGAAAUAGAAACAUGAAGGAAAACUUUUAUAAUUUGUUCCAAAUGAAGAUUGUUGCACAACAAGUGCUCGGCAAAAUGAUCCAACCGGAUCUCUUCUCAUCCAUCACUCUUGACAACCACCAUCAAGAUGAGCAUGAAUUAUCACCGUCCACAGCUUCCAUCCACGCAACGAGAGGCCUUCAGCUUAGAUUUUAACUUUGAUGGAGACCAUGGAUUCAGUCCAUCUCUAAAAGCAAACUUGUAGUUGGUCAGAAGAUGCUACAACAGUCUCCGUUCAACCAUAUUAAAAAAAAAAAAAAAGGUUAGUUGAUGGGUCUUGGGCCAACCAACCCGUUUUUGUGAGAUAGAAUCUUGGAGUUUAUUUAAUUAGGACCACGUCUAUUGUGUUUGGACUUUAAAACCCAUUUAAUGGGCUGCAUUUUCUAUAUAUGUUUGGGCUUAUAAUGUU
This is a long non-coding RNA of Olea europaea var. sylvestris, 910 nucleotides long. RefSeq lists it as uncharacterized. The transcript is spliced from 2 exons. NCBI's taxonomy places the organism in Eukaryota, Viridiplantae, Streptophyta, Magnoliopsida, Lamiales, Oleaceae. The record is from RefSeq and is a predicted model, not a curated record.